RNAcentral lists this ribosomal RNA (1189 nucleotides) under fermentation metagenome. Its description in RNAcentral is "bacterial LSU rRNA". It matches the Rfam family "Bacterial large subunit ribosomal RNA", at positions 1150 to 2317 of the family's 2925-position model. The record is from RNAcentral.
CAAGUGGCCCUGCGCCGAAAAUAUAACGGGGCUAAGCAUAGUACCGAAGCUUUGGCAGCGCGCUUCGCGCGCUGGGUAGGGGAGCGUUCUUAUCGGGCAGAAGCUAUACCGGAAGGAGUAGUGGACUGAUAAGAAGAGAGAAUGCUGGCAUAAGUAAGCGAGAAGGCAGGUGAGAAUCCUGCCCGCCGAAAACCUAAGGUUUCCUGGGGAAGGCUCGUCCGCCCAGGGUAAGCCGGGACCUAACCCGAGGCCGAAAGGCGUAGGGGAUGGACAACUGGUUGAAAAUCCAGUGCCACCUGAAAGCCGUUAAGAGUGAAGGGGUGACGCAGGAGGAUAGGUGAAGCGCACGAUUGGAAGAGUGCGUCCAAGCACGAAGAGGGUGAGACAGGCAAAACCGUCUCACGAGACCUUGAGGUGUGAUGGGGAGUGAAACAAAGUAGCGAAGUCAUCGAAUCCAAACUGCCAAGAAAAGCCUCUAGCCAGGAAGAAGGUGCCCGUACCGUAAACCGACACAGGUAGGUGAGGAGAGAAUCCUAAGGCGCGCGAGAGAACCCUCGUUAAGGAACUCGGCAAAAUAACCCCGUAACUUCGGGAGAAGGGGUGCUCUGAUAGCGUGAGUAUAUAAACAUGUACGAGCGUGAGAGAGCCGCAGUGACCAGGCCCAGGCGACUGUUUAGCAAAAACACAGGUCUCUGCCAAAUCGAAAGAUGAAGUAUAGAGGCUGACGCCUGCCCGGUGCUGGAAGGUUAAGGGGAGAGCUUAGCGGCAACGCGAAGGCUUGAACCGAAGCCCCAGUGAACGGCGGCCGUAACUAUAACGGUCCUAAGGUAGCGAAAUUCCUUGUCUGGUAAGUUCAGACCCGCACGAAAGGCGUAACGAUCUGGGCGCUGUCUCGACGAGGGGCUCGGUGAAAUUGUAAUACCGGUGAAGAUGCCGGUUACCUGCGAUAGGACAGAAAGACCCCGUGGAGCUUUACUGCAGCUUGAUAUUGGAUUUUGGUAGUGCAUGUACAGGAUAGGUGGGAGACUAAGAAUCCAGGUCGCAAGGCUUGGAGGAGUCAAUGGUGGGAUACCACUCUUGAAUUGCUGGAAUUCUAACCUGGGCCCGUAAACCGGGUCAGGGACAUUGUCUGGCGGGCAGUUUGACUGGGGCGGUCGCCUCCCAAAGAGUAACGGAGGCGCCCAAAGGU